RNAcentral lists this non-coding RNA (165 nucleotides) under Paraburkholderia tropica. Its description in RNAcentral is "FMN". It matches the Rfam family "FMN riboswitch aptamer (RFN element)". Rfam says of the family: The RFN element is a highly conserved domain that is found frequently in the 5'-untranslated regions of prokaryotic mRNAs that encode for flavin mononucleotide (FMN) biosynthesis and transport proteins. This element is a metabolite-dependent riboswitch that directly binds FMN in the absence of proteins. In Bacillus subtilis, the riboswitch most likely controls gene expression by causing premature transcription termination within the 5' untranslated region of the ribDEAHT operon and precluding access to the ribosome-binding site of ypaA mRNA. The record is from RNAcentral. Lineage: Bacteria; Pseudomonadati; Pseudomonadota; Betaproteobacteria; Burkholderiales; Burkholderiaceae.
ACACGUUCUCGGGGCGGGGUGAGAUUCCCCACCGGCGGUAAUCGUCCAAUACGACGUAGCCCGCGAGCGCUCUGCCAUCGCAACCUGCUUGACGCGAUCGCAGAGGUCAGCAGACCCGGUUGGAUUCCGGGGCCGACGGUAUAGUCCGGAUGAAAGAGAACAGGA